GGAUUGCCUUAGUAACGGCGAGUGAAGCGGCAACAGCUCAAAUUUGAAAUCUGGCUCCGCCCGAGUUGUAAUUUGCAGAGGGUGCCUUGGAGUUGUCCCGGCCUAAGUUCCUUGGAACAGGACGUCGCAGAGGGUGAGAAUCCCGUACGCGGCUGAUGGACCUCUCCGUGUAAGGCCCCUUCGACGAGUCGAGUUGUUUGGGAAUGCAGCUCUAAAUUGGAGGUAAAUUUCUUCUAAAGCUAAAUACCGGCCAGAGACCGAUAGCGCACAAGUAGAGUGAUCGAAAGAUGAAAAGCACUUUGAAAAGAGAGUUAAAAAGUACGUGAAAUUGUUGAAAGGGAAGCGUUUGUAGCCAGACCUGACGGUAGUUGCUCAACCGGUCUCUGCCCGGUGCACUCUUCUACCGACAGGCCAGCGUCAGUUCGGGUGGCCGGACAAAGGCGUGGGGAAUGUGGCUCCUCGGAGUGUUAUAGCCCCUCGCACAAUGCGGCCCAUCCGGACUGAGGACUGCGAUCCAAGGACGCUGGCUUAAUGGCUGCCAACGGCCCGUCUUGAAACACGGACCAAGGAGUCUAACAUCUGUGCGAGUGUUUGGGUGUCAAACCCGUGCGCGUAAUGAAAGUGAANGGAGGUGGGAGCUUCGGCGCACCAUCGACCGAUCCUGAUGUCUUCGGAAGGAUUUGAGUAAGAGCAUAGCUGUUGGGACCCGAAAGAUGGUGAACUAUGCCUGAAUAGGGUGAAGCCAGAGGAAACUCUGGUGGAGGCUCGCAGCGGUUCUGACGUGCAAAUCGAUCGUCAAAUUUGGGUAUAGGGGCGAAAGACUAAUCGAACCAUUGACACCAGCCUUUGCUAGGUGGUUUAGAGCGGCCUCGGGUCGCUAGUUGAUUUCAGACACCGUCAAAUUGCGGGGACGUCUUGCCUUGCUCCGGGUACCGUCCAAGGCUCGAAAGGGUACUUGGGCACCUAACAAUUGGUUAGGGGCGUGGUAAAACCACCGGAGAAGCGGGUGACCUGCAGCCAAAUCCGUAGCCGGCUACGGAUGCAGUUUACAGGCCAUAAGUCGGUGGGUGCGGGUACGUCCCGCACCUAAGAUAUGGUCGAAGGUACCCGGACACGGGUACGCUCAGGAGGAGCUAGUAGCUGGUUCCUGCCGAAGUUUCCCUCAGGAUAGCAGUAACGAUUUCAGUUUUNUGAGGUAAAGCGAAUGAUUAGAGGCCUUGGGGUUGAAACAACCUU
This 1236-nucleotide ribosomal RNA is filed under the name [Taeniolella] hawksworthiana. RNAcentral's name for it is "eukaryotic LSU rRNA". It matches the Rfam family "Eukaryotic large subunit ribosomal RNA", at positions 72 to 1048 of the family's 3401-position model. The record is from RNAcentral. Lineage: Eukaryota; Fungi; Ascomycota; Dothideomycetes; Asterinales.